This 301-nucleotide ribosomal RNA is filed under the name uncultured bacterium. RNAcentral describes it as "partial 16S ribosomal RNA". It matches the Rfam family "Bacterial small subunit ribosomal RNA", at positions 509 to 807 of the family's 1533-position model. The record is from RNAcentral.
CAGCCGCCGCGGUAGUACGAAGGGUGCAAGCGUUAAUCGGAAUUACUGGGCGUAAAGCGUGCGUAGGCGGUUUGUUAAGUCUGCUGUGAAAUCCCCCGGCUCAACCGGGGAGGGUCAUUGGAAACUGGGAAACUUGAGUGCAGAAGAGGAGAGUGGAAUUCCACGUGUAGCGGUGAAAUGCGUAGAGAUGUGGAGGAACACCAGUGGCGAAGGCGACUCUCUGGUCUGUAACUGACGCUGAGGAGCGAAAGCGUGGGGAGCGAACAGGAUUAGAUACCCCGGUAGUCCCUGUCUCUUAUAC